This 261-nucleotide unclassified non-coding RNA is filed under the name Ascomycota sp. RNAcentral's name for it is "partial contains small subunit ribosomal RNA, internal transcribed spacer 1, and 5.8S ribosomal RNA". The stretch from base 1 to 47 matches the Rfam family "Eukaryotic small subunit ribosomal RNA", at positions 1785 to 1831 of the family's 1831-position model. Lineage: Eukaryota; Fungi; Ascomycota. The record is from RNAcentral.
AAAGUCGUAACAAGGUCUCCGUUGGUGAACCAGCGGAGGGAUCAUUACAGAAUCUGGCAUAUACUGUGUCAUGGCUCUGCCAACCCCGCGAACUUUAUACAUGUACGUUGCCUCGGCGGACCCUGCCCGGCCCUCCCUUUUGGGGGAAAGGAACAGCCCGCCGGCCGGCAUUUACGCAAACGCUCUGAAUUAGCUCCGCGCUCCUUCUGAACAGAAAACUUUAACGAGUAAAAACUUUUGGCAACGGAUCUCUUGGCUCUG